This 1324-nucleotide non-coding RNA is filed under the name Neogoniolithon spectabile. RNAcentral describes it as "SSU rRNA". It matches the Rfam family "Bacterial small subunit ribosomal RNA". Lineage: Eukaryota; Rhodophyta; Florideophyceae; Corallinales; Spongitidaceae. The record is from RNAcentral.
AAGAGUUUGAUCCUGGCUCAGAAUGAACGCUACUAGUUAACUUUACACAUGCAAGUCAAUUAAAUUUUUUUAUUUAAAAAAGGCGUACGGGUGAGUAUAACAUAAAAACUUACCUUUUUAAUUACUAAAUAAUUGAAAAGAAAGGUUUAUGAAAGAUUAAGUAGUUGAUAAAGAAAAUAAUCAAGCUUAUAAUCUUUAGCUGAUCUGUGAGGAUGACCAGCCACAUUGGAACUGAGACAAGGUCCAAACUUCUUUAAGAAGGCAGCAGUGGGGAAUAUUGGACAAUGAGCGCAAGCUUGAUCCAGUUAAACUAGGUGUAUGAAGAUGAUGUUUAAUCUUAAAAUACAUUAAAAAUUUAAAUAAUGAUUAAGUUUUUGUCAGUUCUGGCUAAUCUUGUGCCAGCAGCCGCGGUAAUACAAGAAGAGCAAGCGUUAUUCGGAAUGAUUGGGCGUAAAGGAUAUGUAGGUUGUUAAUUAAUUAGUUGAUUAAAUAUUAAAAUAAACUUUAUAAUGUUAACUAAAAAAAAUUAUCUCGAGUUCAACUAAAGAUUUAGGAACUUUAAAUGUAACGGUAAAAUGUGAUGAUAUUUAAAAGAACUUCAAUAGCGAAAGCAAUGAUCUAAUUUGAUACUGACAUUGAAAUAUUUAAGCAUGGGUAGCGAAAGGGAUUAGAUACCCCUGUAGUCCAUGCCUUGAACGAUGAGUGCUAAUUUUAUAAUUUUUAUAAAGUAAAGUCAACACGUUAAGCACUCCGCCUGGGAACUACGAUCGCAAGAUUAAAACUCAAAGGAAUUGACGGGGAUCUAAACAAGCAGUGGAGCAUGUGGUUUAAAUCGAUAAUACGCGCGAAACCUUACCAGUCUUUGUAUAUAUUUGAUACAGGUGUUGCAUGGCUGUCGUCAGUCCGUGUCGUGAGAUGUUUGAUUAAUUUCAACAAACGGACGAAACUCUUAUGUAAAACUUACAAACCACUAAAGAUAUUUUAGAGGAAGAAAAGAACAACGUCAAGUCUUUAUGACCCUUAUAGUCUGGGCUACUUUCAUGUGCUACAAUAAUUAUAUCAAAGUGUAAUUUAACGUAAGUUGUAAUAAUCCACGAAAAAUAAUUAUUACGAAUUACUAUCUGAAACUCGAAAGUAUGAAGUUGGAAUUGCUAGUAAUCGCAAAUGAGAAUGUUGCGGUGAAUACGUUCUUAGAUCUUGUACACACCGCCCGUCACGCUAUGGAAAUUUUGAAAAUUUGAAAACUAAAGAUAUGAGUUUAUAAUCUAAAAACAACUAAAGUGAAGUCGUAACAAGGUAGCCGUAGGGGAACCUGUGGCUGGAA